This 480-nucleotide ribosomal RNA is filed under the name uncultured Allobrachymonas sp. RNAcentral describes it as "bacterial SSU rRNA". It matches the Rfam family "Bacterial small subunit ribosomal RNA", at positions 897 to 1382 of the family's 1533-position model. The record is from RNAcentral. Lineage: Bacteria; Pseudomonadati; Pseudomonadota; Betaproteobacteria; Burkholderiales; Comamonadaceae.
AAACUCAAAGGAAUUGACGGGGACCCGCACAAGCGGUGGAUGAUGUGGUUUAAUUCGAUGCAACGCGAAAACCUUACCCACCUUUGACAUGGCAGGAAUCCCGAAGAGAUUUGGGAGUGCUCGAAAGAGAACCUGCACACAGGUGCUGCAUGGCUGUCGUCAGCUCGUGUCGUGAGAUGUUGGGUUAAGUCCCGCAACGAGCGCAACCCUUGCCAUUAGUUGCUACGAAAGGGCACUCUAAUGGGACUGCCGGUGACAAACCGGAGGAAGGUGGGGAUGACGUCAAGUCCUCAUGGCCCUUAUAGGUGGGCUACACACGUCAUACAAUGGCCGGUACAGAGGGUAGCCAACCCGCGAGGGGGAGCCAAUCCCACAAAGCCGGUCGUAGUCCGGAUCGCAGUCUGCAACUCGACUGCGUGAAGUCGGAAUCGCUAGUAAUCGCAGAUCAGCAACGCUGCGGUGAAUACGUUCCCGGGCCUU